Molecule: long non-coding RNA, 649 nt
Filed under: Nicotiana benthamiana
Lineage: Eukaryota; Viridiplantae; Streptophyta; Magnoliopsida; Solanales; Solanaceae
Description: long non-coding RNA (NBEN_LNC011240)
Source: RNAcentral
AUCAACCGUUGAUCUCUGAGAUCAUUUGUCCACCUUGGUUCCUUACCUUUUUUAACCCAACGACCCCCUAAAACUUUACCAUGUUUUUCAUUUAAGAUGCUUUUGAAUCCCUUCUACUCCAAUUCACUCUGAGACCUAAACUUAAUCCUAUCUACUACCACCUAAAACCAACCUAAUCUCUUUCAUCCUCACUCAAUUCAUGGGUUCCACGAUUUGUUUGAGAUAUAUACGCAUCUCCUAUGUCUCUCGGUUGCUCGUUUUUGUGAUUUCAUUGAAGGAUCUCGAAGAUAUCUAGUCCAGACCUUGUUCAAAACUCUCCGAGAGUUUAUCCAUGGUCUUUCAUGCCAUUUUCCGGCCAUCUAUGGCUAUUCGAGUAGGAUUCAUGACUUUUCUGGCUAAAACCGGUAAUGUUCUAAAGUUUUCUCAUCUUCUCAAGGUUUUCUGAAACACUAGCUCUUGAGAUUUUUCACUUUUCUUAAGAUCUGUCUUAGAUCUAGGUGUAUCCAUGAGUUUUUAACCUAUUUUUCUUCAUCUUUACUAUUUUUCGAAACCCUAAAGUUACUGUGUUCGAUUCUUCUCAGGAUCUUUCUAGAUCUGAGAUGAUUCAAGUAUUAUCAAGUUUUUUCCUAUAAAAUAUCCUGUUUUUAAC